UACGGGGGGGGCAAGCGUUGUUCGGAAUUACUGGGCGUAAAGGGCUCGUAGGUGGCCAACUAAGUCAGACGUGAAAUCCCUCGGCUUAACCGGGGAACUGCGUCUGAUACUGGAUGGCUAGAGAUUGGGAGAGGGAUGCGGAAUUCCAGGUGUAGCGGUGAAAUGCGUAGAUAUCAGGAGGAACACCAAUGGCGAAGGCAGCUCGCUGGGACGGUACUGACGCUGAGACGCGAAAGCGUGGGGAGCAAACAGG
Molecule: ribosomal RNA, 253 nt
Filed under: uncultured bacterium
Lineage: Bacteria
Description: partial 16S ribosomal RNA
Rfam family: Bacterial small subunit ribosomal RNA
Source: RNAcentral